RNAcentral lists this transfer RNA (79 nucleotides) under Dehalococcoidia bacterium. RNAcentral describes it as "tRNA-Pro". It matches the Rfam family "tRNA". Rfam says of the family: Transfer RNA (tRNA) molecules are approximately 80 nucleotides in length. The record is from RNAcentral. RNAcentral also lists the same sequence under 1 other name. Lineage: Bacteria; Bacillati; Chloroflexota; Dehalococcoidia.
CGGGGUGUGGCGCAGUCCGGUUUAGCGCGCUUGCAUGGGGUGCAAGAGGUCAGAGGUUCGAAUCCUCUCACCCCGACCA